RNAcentral lists this small nucleolar RNA (90 nucleotides) under Mus pahari (shrew mouse). Lineage: Eukaryota; Metazoa; Chordata; Mammalia; Rodentia; Muridae. The record is from RNAcentral.
GGACCCCCGUGAUGUCUAGCACUGGGCUCUGAUCAUCCUGAGGACAUGGUGCCCUCAGGGACCUUUGACACCCUGGGGUCUGAGGGGUCC